Engraulis encrasicolus (European anchovy) is the source of this 1627-nucleotide long non-coding RNA. RefSeq lists it as uncharacterized. The transcript is spliced from 2 exons. NCBI's taxonomy places the organism in Eukaryota, Metazoa, Chordata, Actinopteri, Clupeiformes, Engraulidae. The record is from RefSeq and is a predicted model, not a curated record.
UGUGACGUCAAACGUUCUAGUGGACGGCCACUGGACGGCAAGAGGACGGCAGAGUGCAGCAUUAAUGAAUGGAUUCCUAUGGGACUCGCAACGUUUAGUAACUCAUAACCUAACUUGGAUCACCGAUAAACUAAACACCGUAAACACCCAUUGUGCUGUUUGUUACAAAAACAGAUAGGGUUACAAACCAGGCGUGACUUUUCAUUGGAUCUCAAAAUAAAACGAGAAAGCUGAGGUGAAUCGCGGCAACCAACUGGAAAACCAUCAAACUAGCCUACUCGAGUAGCCUGGAUGAGCACCACGAUGAGAAGAGCGAUGAUCUGAUGUCAUGACACAUUGGAUGUAUGGAAGAGCCAGAGGUCCAGCACACCAAGCCAAGUUUAGCCGAUUUCAACCUAUCACACCAACUCAAUGUAGUAAUCAGUUCAUUCAAUGGCUCAAAGACUUUAUUUUUAGACACAAAGUACAAAUACAUUUCAAGGUUAUGUAGGUGAUGGGAGGGGAUAUCUAUUCUGGGGUGGACAUGUACAAUAGACGUGCAAGUACUUAUUUAUAUUAAUAAAUGGUUAUCUGAACUAGGCCUGUAAUAGUCAACCCAUUGAUGCUGGAUGCUGUGAACACGUUGUAUUGACCUAGGUGCCUGGAGCGACACAGCAUUCAGGCAUGACAUAUUAGAUUUUUUUUAGAUUAAAAAUGUGGGUAUGUUAGAGCUGAAUUAACAUCUUCUAAUGCAAGAGGAUGGUCUUAGCUUUUAAAACUAAUUUCAUGUCUGUAUAUGUAUAUUCAGAGACUUAUUUAGUUACAGGUAUUUGUUUUUUUAUAGGAUGAGGGCACCUUUCUUAAAAAGGGCAUAGGCAAUUAGCUGGCAUUUUUUGCAGGUGCCAGCUAAAAUGAGUUAAUAUUAUUUACAUACAGCUCUAUCCCCAUACCAGUAUACCCACGUCACCUGAGAUAUACAUUUAGUGGAGACAAUGUAAUUAGUUAGACUAGACUGAAGAUUGACAGGCGGUCAUGGGUAAGUGGUUAGAGUGUCAGCCUUGUAUCCCAAAGGUUGCCGGUUGGACUCCCGACCCACCAGGUUGGUGGGGGGAGUUAAAUAAUCAGUGCUCUCCCCCAUCCUCCUCCAUGACAGAGAGUGCGUCUUAAUAUGCAACCUUGCCUCCUCCACUUGCGCUUGUCUCCUCGUCCCGCCUCCUGGCCCCUCCUCCGUGGAGAAAACAAUAAAGUUUCCCAGCUGUCAGCCUAGCCACAACAACUUUUGAGGGACUGUUUUUCAUUCACCAUCCCAAUUGCAAAUGAGAAAAAGACUCUGCAAUUGAGCUUUUGCAAGAUAUUGAAAUAUAAUGAUGUCCGUGAUGUCAUCAUGACGAGAAGCAAGUGGAGGAGGCAAGGUCCCAUAUUAAGACGCACUCUGAGAUACCCUGAGAAUGGUACCGCCGCACUUCGGGCGCCAUUGGGGACUGCCGCCUUGCACGGGUGAAGCAUAAAUGCAAUUUCGUGCAGUGAACACUUGUGUGCUGUGUCACAAUGUCAAUGGGAGUUGGAGUUUCCCAGUUGGGCUUUCACUUCACGUUCACAGAAAAUGUUCUACGUUGUUGUAUUAGUGCAAUAAAAUAAGCAAAACAUG